This 85-nucleotide transfer RNA is filed under the name bacterium. RNAcentral's name for it is "tRNA-Ser". It matches the Rfam family "tRNA". Rfam says of the family: Transfer RNA (tRNA) molecules are approximately 80 nucleotides in length. The record is from RNAcentral.
GGUGGGGUCGCAUAGUGGCCGAGUGCGCGCGCGUGGAAAGCGCGUAUACCGCAAGGUAUCGAGGGUUCGAAUCCCUCCCCCACCG